GUUGAUGUAUUUUGGCAGCUGCUCCUGCUUUGCGGGUUGAGGGGGACAGGACGACCCGUGGAAGGAUGGUGUGUGAAAAGUGUGAAAAGAAACUCGGCAGGGUUAUCACUCCAGACACAUGGAAGGACGGGGCCCGGAACACCACAGGUACUGCUUGCCAGUAGGAAACAGGAGCUGGAUCAAGUGCUUGUGGACACAGCUCUAGGGCUUCACUGUUUGCAGAGUGCAGUGUUAGAUGAUGACUCUCUCGUCCAUUAAACACAAAGAGGACCGGAUUCCCCUGUGAAUUCAUAUCUUUUUCAUCAUCUGAGUUUCAUGAAUGGAUUCCUCAUAUAGAGAGUCAAGAAGGAGUCAAAUUAUUAUUUCAGUGUAUUUUAUUUGAUUCAGCUUAAUAAAGUCUGUAUUUAAAUUUC
This 413-nucleotide long non-coding RNA is filed under the name Rattus norvegicus (Norway rat). Its description in RNAcentral is "long non-coding RNA NONRATT024020". Lineage: Eukaryota; Metazoa; Chordata; Mammalia; Rodentia; Muridae. The record is from RNAcentral.